Molecule: long non-coding RNA, 1121 nt
Organism: Pipistrellus kuhlii (Kuhl's pipistrelle)
Lineage: Eukaryota; Metazoa; Chordata; Mammalia; Chiroptera; Vespertilionidae
Exons: 2
Source: RefSeq, a predicted model, not a curated record
AUAAAUACUGCUGAGAUAUAGAUGCCAAGGCAUUUGGGAACUUUUGCCUAUACCCAGCGUUAUUACUUAACUGGGUGAACUUAGAUAUGUUGUAUUUUCUGAGAGGAUAGCAUUUAUUUAUGAAAGGAUGGUUGUACUGUAGCAUUCUGAUGCCCCAUCCAUCUAUGAAACUGCAUAUAAUAAAUCUGAUAUUUAUUACUUUCAGAUAAUAAAUUUGAACAUGGUUUAAAAUAUUCAAAACAAUUGUUUUAAAGCUUAAGUAAGAAUUAUGUACAAACAUCCUAUCUAUUUCUGUCAGGCUUUAUUUUUGUAAAGUUGUCUAAUCAAUCCUUUUGGUAUCUGAUUACAGAGUUAUAGAAUUACAUAGCUGCUGAACACCACGUUAAAAAAAAUUAGCCAACACAUUUUCUUGUUGUCAAAGUCUGACAAAUAAUGACCUUCCAAUUGUUCAGGGUUUUGUAGAAGUGAGAAGUUAUUUCUAAAACCCUGUCUAGUGCUCUAUAGCUAAAAUAAACCUGAAAGCACUCACUUAAUUUUUUAUAAAAAAAAAAAUUGGCCUUCACUGUUUAUCUGAGUUUUGCCAUUGUGAAUAUGUCCAAUAAAUAGAGCUAUUGAGUUGAAGGGUCCCAGGAGCAAUAUGUAAUUGGAUUGGAUUUAUUCUACUUGUGUUUUGAGUGUUAGCUUUUUAUUUAACCUAGAUUUUCUUGCAGAAUCGAUCUCAUAUGCAAUUCAGUCCAUUGUUUUUCAAUAUGGAAUGCAUUUGGGCUUUUUCAGUAAAUAUAAUAUUAAAAGAGAUGAUUAUUAUAGUUAAAGUAUUUUUAUGACUUAUCUAAUAUUAAGCGUCAUUAACUUAAUAUUCCUGGGAUUUGGCAACAGGUAAGGAAUAAGGAAAAAAAACAAAUGUGAUCCUUAUGAUGAAAAAAGAAAAGUAGCAAAAGUGGCAAUUAAGAAAAUUCAAUUAUUUUAUUAUGGGUCAUAACAAAAUCUUAAGUUAGGCAGUGAUGAUUUUUAUGUUUUCAAAUGUGUAUUGUUGAGAUAAUAACACUGUGGCUUGAUUUCAAAACAUAUUUUACCUUAAGUAAAUUUUCUGUAAUGUGAAUAAACUAUUUCUUGCAAAUCUA